GACGAACGCUGGCGGCGUGCUUAACACAUGCAAGUCGAACGGUAGGGCCCCUUCGGGGGUACACGAGUGGCGAACGGGUGAGUAACACGUGGGUAAUCUGCCCUGCACUUCGGGAUAAGCCUGGGAAACCGGGUCUAAUACCGGAUAUGAACUCCUGCCGCAUGGUGGGGGUUGGAAAGUUUUUCGGUGCAGGAUGAGCCCGCGGCCUAUCAGCUUGUGGGUGGGGUAAUGGCCUACCAAGGCGACGACGGGUAGCCGGCCUGAGAGGGUGAUCGGCAACGCUGGGACCGAGACACGGCCCAGACUCCUACGGGAGGCAGCAGUGGGGAAUAUUGCACAAUGGGCGAAAGCCUGAUGCAGCGGCGCCGCGUGGGGGAUGACGGUCUUCGGAUUGUAAACCCCUGUCAGUAGGGACGAAGCGCAAGUGACGGUACCUGCAGAAGAAGCACCGGCUAACUACGUGCCAGCCGCCGCCGUAA
This 479-nucleotide ribosomal RNA is filed under the name uncultured bacterium. Its description in RNAcentral is "partial 16S ribosomal RNA". It matches the Rfam family "Bacterial small subunit ribosomal RNA", at positions 28 to 523 of the family's 1533-position model. The record is from RNAcentral.